Molecule: long non-coding RNA, 111 nt
Organism: Sapajus apella (tufted capuchin)
Lineage: Eukaryota; Metazoa; Chordata; Mammalia; Primates; Cebidae
Exons: 3
Source: RefSeq, a predicted model, not a curated record
GGCUCACACCAAAAAUACCAGCACUUUGGGAGGUUGAGGCAGGAGAAUUGCUUGAGCCAGGAGUUCUAAGACUAGCCUGGGGAAUAUAGCAGACACUAUCUCUACAAAAUA